Molecule: non-coding RNA, 58 nt
Organism: Aedes albopictus (Asian tiger mosquito)
Lineage: Eukaryota; Metazoa; Arthropoda; Insecta; Diptera; Culicidae
Source: Rfam
UAGCCUAGUGGUUAAGGCUAUGGAUCCCCAAUCCGGAGACGGCGGGUUCGAUUCCCGU